CUAGUGCUAAAAGAGGCUGUGAGGAUGGGGCAGUGGACUCACCUGCGAGUCGACUAGGCGGGGGGCAUGGCAGCUCCUCAGACGCCCUCUGACCUCCGUGGGAGCCAUCUUCCAGCGUGCAGCCGCGAGCCGCACCUGACGCUAAGGCCCCCUGGGCGCAUGCGCAGCAGCGCCCACUUCCGGCCUCCCGGACCCCGCCCCGUGGAGAUGCGUUGCUCUGCGGGUCCUCGACCAGCCAGCCUCCUGGGUGAGUUCUCGGCUCCUGAAACCGCCGGUCUGCGGGGCCAGCCUCUCUCCAGUCCCUCCUCACCCUCCCGCCCUCUGUGUACCAGGUCCGUUUUGAAACGCACCCUGGACCUCCUGAGGUUGUGGACCCACCGGCUAGCAACAAAACUUUCUUCAUGUUUGUUAGUAAAUUUUAUAUAGGAGACAGAAGCUGCUCACAGCUUGUGCUUAAAUUCCAUCACCGGGGAAAUGUUUGCAAAGAUUUCUCAUGUCUUGUAAAUGUUGGGAAUCCAGAUUUGCCUAGAGCGUGGACGGAGAAGAUGACGUCUCCACUGGUAGCUUCCUUGGCUCAUAGCACCUGCUUCCCAGGGAAUUCCUCUCCAAACAGAUGGAGUGAGGUGUUCCUCAGCAUGUUGGGUACCUCUCACAUGAGGGUGCAGUUCUGCCAAGAUCUCCGCCUUCUCCAUGAGUGUGUGAGCUCCUGAGGCCUGGCAUAUACUUGUUAUAUCAUAAAUGUAUUCUGAAUGAAUGAAAGGAUAAAUUUUAAAAAGGUGGUAUGGUGAUUAUAAAAGACAGCCCUCAGAGAGGAUGCCAGAGACAAGGAUGCGAUAUAAGGUAGAUAUGGGCAAUAAUAAUUCGACUUCAGGUGUAUAUUCAGUUCUCAAUUAUUUCUCAUAACAACCUUGUAAAAUAGGAAGGAUAGUUAUAUUCCUUAUGUUACUGAUAAAGAAAUUAGACUUAGAGUAAGUGAUUUAUUCAGGGUCACAAAACUAAUUAUUUGCAAAGCUGAGAUCAGAAUAUAGGUCACCUUUCUCUUACCCCAAUGCUUGAUAUGAUGAUUGAGUAAUUUUUUUCAUGUUUUUAUUCAAAUAUUUGGUGAUGGAUGAUAAGUCAGAGAUGGAUAUGGGGUUUUGUAGGGAACAAAAGAAGCCUGAGGACAUUUGAAAAUAAUGAGCAGUCUUGGAAAUGAAGCUAAUGAGAAGUACCACGUUUACAUAUACAUAAGGUAUGAUAGCGGUGGGGGGUAUGAGAGCAGGCACCCCAUGGAGUAACAGUUCACGAAAAGAGUAGACUCAUUACACACAUUCAAGAUAUUUUAGAUUGAGUGGUCCUAUGGUACAGAAGUAUUGCUAUGGGAUGAAAAGUCCCUUACAAAAUACUUGUGAAUACCCUGAAUAUGGAGACAAGACUUUUGUAGAGGGACCAGAAAAGUUUCUGAUAUGCCCACAGCACAUAUCCUUUUGGGAUCCUAGGAUUCUCGUGGAUUGGGGCAAAGUGGACUUUUGCCCUGCCAGCUCACCUGGAUGAGUUACCUCACCUCCUUUUGUUGUUAGUGGCUGUUAAUGGAGGUAUGUUAUGUAGAACGCUCUAGUCUUCUCAUAUCCCAGCUUUGGCAGGAAAAACAAAGCAUUUUGAUUCAAAUGUUUAUUUUCCAGCCAACUCAUUCCUCAACUCCUUGUUCUAGGUUAGACUUGUCAUCUUGAAGCAUUAUUUAAAAAUCUAGAUUCUGAGACUACCUGUGAAGAUUAAUCUAAGAUGGAGAAGGAAUAAUUGACACCUGUGCUUUUUCCUAAUCUCAGCCAGUAACUCCAACAUGCAUAUCCAUUUCGGUGAAUUGAUUUCUGUAUGUAAGAGAGAAAGGGGAAGUACUAGAAAAAAAAAAGAACAAUGAGUAUGGUGAGCCCUAAUUUCCUAAGAUCAUAGGACAAUAAUAUGAAGGUUUUUUAAAAGGUUAAAAAAUAGACUGACCAAAAAAAAAAAAAAAAAGAAAAAGAAAAAAAGAGCAAACAUAUGAUCCUGAGGUACCACUUCUCAGUAUAUAUACAAAGGAAAUGAGGUACUAUGUUGAAGAGACAUCUGCACUCCCAUGUACAUUGCAGCAUUAUUUAUAAUUGCCAUGAUACAGAAAUGACCUAAGUGUCUGUUGAGGGAUAUAUGGAUAAAGAAAAUGUGAUAUGUACACACACACAUACACUUUGUCUCUUCUUAAAUAUUCAGUCUUGAAAAGGAAGGAAAUCCUGCUAUUUAUGAAAACAUUGAUGAACCUGGAGGACAUGAUGCUCAGUGAAUUAAACCAGACACAGGAAGAUAGUUAUUGCAUGGUCUUGCUUUUAUAUGUGGAAGAUCGGGGAGAUGGGGAUAUGUAGGUCAAAGGGUAUAAAGGUUCAGUUAUGUAAGAUGAGUCAAUUCUGGAGAUCUAGUAUAUAGCAUGAUGGCUGUAGUUAAUACUGCAUUAUAUACUUAAAAUUUGCUAAGAAAUGUUCUCAUUAUGCACAAACAAAAAUCAUAACUUUCAAAUAAUGGAUAUAUUAAUUAGCUUGAUCAUGAUGCUCAUUUCACAAUGAAUACAAAUAUAUAUGAAAUCAUAUUCUACACCUGUGUAAAUAUAUAUAAUUUUUAUCUAUUAAGUAUACUUCAGUAACGCUAGAAAGAAAAAAAGAUUGGAGCAAACCAAUUCUUAGAGAAGUAUUUCUGGAAGCAAAAAGUUCAAGGAAAAGGCAAGAAAGAAAACGAGAGGCAUAUGGAUCCAGAAUGAGGUGAACAUGACCUAUAGGCAGUAGCCUUGGUUGGAGAAGGGACCCCAAGAAAAUCUUCUGCCAGGACAGGAAAAGAACAUUACCACGUCCCAUUGGAUCCUUGAGAAACUUCUCUUAUGAAGAGCAGGAGUUCGUGAAGUAAGUCCUUAAAAUCACAUCUGUUCACCUUAUGUGACGGGAAGGAGAGGCGACUUCUGAAGCAGGGUGAUUGAAAUGGAAAUACAUUCAAAUAAAUGGACUCUGGGCUCCACUUUGUUCUAAAUAACCUCUACUUAUUUACUAUUGGAACAAAAGUCCAUGGUAGAUGAAAGGCAUUAUGUGUGGAGUCAAACGAUGGGGUUAAAAUGGUAGCAUCCUGCCUCACCAUAGAAGCACCUCCAGUUCUAAUGGAGAGAUAGAGACAAUCUUUCUUACACAAGGCUCAUGAUAGCAACAUCCAGCUGCUUUCUUCAUAAGAAGACUAGGAAAGUACGAUGAAAACUAUGUGGAGAAAUAUAAACUUAAAGAAAUGCUAAAUAGUCCUAUGCAAGUCUGGCCUCUUCAAAACCAGGAUGUGGUGUCUUGGGUCUGUCCUAGCGCUACUCUGAAACUUGCACUUGGUGGUGCACCCAGUACGUGGACAGGCUUCAUUUUUCAAGUUCCAGCUUACAACCCACCACCACUAUUUCUGAUGUCUCUAGCUCCCAGAAGUCUCUUCCUCCUUUUGAUUCCGAUGGUUGUGGUUAACCUGACUCCAGCAUUAUUCAUCUCAAGCUACAGGAAUGUUGAGCACUACUUCCCCUUCACCAAAACAAGAAAAAAAUACAGAUACUACAUGGCUCAUUACUUCAGGGUGAGAGGCUACUGCAUACAUGUGCAUCUGCUAAUGAAUCUGGACCUCCCCCAACAGACUGCCUAGACAGGGGAAGCCGAGAUACGGGGCUCUGCUCCACAUGGUUAGUCAAGCACUCAAGGUCCUUCCAUCUUUAGUUACUGUCAUCAUCAACAUGUAGCUUUUCAUGCUCACUGUGUUCACGAUGCUUACCACUGAAAGAGGAGAGAAGACCCACCUGCUCUUAGCCAUCACAGUCUGUGCUUACCAAACCCAAAAUCAGAAACAGAUUAAUGGAUUCAUUAAUUUGACAUAAGCUGGAAUUUUGUAUCUCUUCCUGUGAGAGUGAAACCUGAGGAUGAAAUUGAUUUGGUAACUUAAAAACUAAUGAGACAGUAUGGACUUGAGAUAUGAGAGCUAUUUUCAGAGAGGAGAUGGAACAUAAGAAGAAUAUGGACAAUUUGGAAUACAUGGAGAGCUCCCCAGGUGAUUCUAAUGCUCAGCUUGAGUAGAAAACUACUGGCCUAGAUGAUUAAUAGAGGCACUAAUGGAGGAGAAGGAAGAGAAAGCCCCAGACCAUACGCUAAACCAGUCUUAAAAUUGGCAUAGACACAGGCCCACAUCUGGAAGAUAUUAGUCUGCCCGAAGGAAUUCAGCCUGUGAACUGGAAUGUUUUGCCUCCAUGUAUAAGAAUGAUUUUCAUGCUGGAAAAAAGAAGACCACAUUGUGAUGAAGAGGAGGUGGGCUAGGAAAAUAGCAAAAGGUUUUGCUUGUUUCAUUGGGAUUUGAUGGAGUGUGAGCUCCUCAAAGGCAGGAGCUAUGACUUAUUUGUCUCUUUGGAAUAGUACUUUCCAUGGUGGCCAGCAUAUGAAAGAGCCUGCAAUGUGAUGGCAUUUGCCUUGCCUGAGGAACGAAGAGACAGUUUUUCCUCUCUCAACAAUCCUGCACAUUGAGAUCUGACCAGAGCAUUCUCAAGCUGAUUCCAAAUGCGUUCCCUGGAAAGGGGAGAGAAGACUUGCUCAUCCCCAUUGUCACUGAGUGGGAGAAUGUUCUGCCAAGUCUCCUGACAGAUUUCUUAGUCAAAGAGAAAAGGUCUGUAGUGCUUAGAAAACAAAGCUAUUUCAGGUUGCUUGGCUGUGAGCUGAUAAACAAGGCCUGAGGUGAGAAAUGCAAAACGUGGGUGUGUGUACACACAUACCCACACACACAAGCAAGGGCCUCCGGUCAGUUGAAGACAGAACUGACAUACUUAGCAGUCAAGCCACAUUGCUUUCUUUCUGACCUGUUGGCUACAUAUUCAGUUGAUAGCUUCCUGCUACCUAUCACAAAACAAUAAAAAUCUUUUAAGA
Long non-coding RNA from Canis lupus familiaris (dog), 4922 nucleotides. RefSeq lists it as uncharacterized. Lineage: Eukaryota; Metazoa; Chordata; Mammalia; Carnivora; Canidae. The record is from RefSeq and is a predicted model, not a curated record. The transcript is spliced from 16 exons.